Oncorhynchus nerka (sockeye salmon) is the source of this 2155-nucleotide long non-coding RNA. RefSeq lists it as uncharacterized. NCBI's taxonomy places the organism in Eukaryota, Metazoa, Chordata, Actinopteri, Salmoniformes, Salmonidae. The transcript has 4 exons. The record is from RefSeq and is a predicted model, not a curated record.
AAAUAUGCACUUUUUCAUGAAUGGUUGGGAAGAAAGUACCCUUUGUUAUUUGAUCGAAAUCCGAGCAUAAUCGUCAUUUCUAUUUAGCGGGGCCUACCCGGCUAGCUAACUAACAGUAACGUUAGCUCGCUAACGUUAACUGUCUUUCACCAACUAACAAGGGUUAGGUAACGUUAGCUACAACUAACUAGCUAAUCCAAGGGGCAUUAUCAACGGUCUCGAGUCUCCAGACAGAACGUUCCAGAAAGCAAUCUAUCCUAGCUAGUAUUAGUUAACUAUGCCAUUUGUUCCUUCGUAUUGGCAAUUGACGUUACUUUACAAUGACAAAAUUGGUUCGAGGUUCUAGUUUAUCUAGCUAACGUUAAUUGACUAAAUCUGCAAACCACCCUGAACUGUGCUGUUCUAUGUGUAUCCUUUGUCACUGCAUUUUUGCCACUCAUGUUAGGUUGCCUAUGGAUUAUCCUAGGAAGCAAAAAGUGGCUAGAGGAUAAAACCAUGCUGAGGCCAGACGGAAUGACCCAUUUCUCAGUCACGAUGAUAAUGCCAUCAUAGUAGCUACUUGCCACACAAGUGUCAACUGUUGUAACCGUUGUAUAUGUAUAUUGGUCUGCUCAUUACAUUUUUCAAAUGAACGGAUGUGGCCUUUUUUUUGCCUACUUAGCGUUGAGAUCCAGUUAUCAAUGAUCUUUGUGCUCGCUAGUUAGCGACUUAGCAUUUAAGUUUGGUUUUCAAAAGAAACGAAGUGUGCACUUGAUGUGGUUGCAGGAUAUCACGCUGUUAGUUUACAUGGAUGGGCCUAAUGGAAAAAAGUGGAUGUGGACAGUUUACCCAAACAAAAUGACACAAUUACUGUUGACUAACCCCGUUCAGUAAAAAUUUGCGCAACCGCGGCAUUCAAACGAGACCGCAAUGAAAACUAAUAGGACUGUGUUGGCAUCAAAAUCUGGGUUGUGAACUACGUUUCUAUUGACAUGGUAAUGGCCGGAUAGUAUUGGAGGAGAAAAGUUGAAAAAACUGCCCCCUCUGACGCUGUUAAAUUGUGACGUACGUACGCAUUAUGCAACUCAUUCUGUGUAGUACAGCCUCUCUCCACCAGGUGUAGGGCUUCUCUCGCAGUUUAAAAACAAGAAAGGGACAGGGUAAGGCGGAUACUUAGUCAAUUGUACAACUAAAUGCAUUCAUUUUUUUGCAUAAUCGCUGCAAGCCACCAUGACUCAAAAUCCGCAACAGCCGCUGUUUACUUCUGAAGAUAACUUUAGUGCCGCCCUAAAAACCCGACUCUAACUCGACAAACUUCAAAUAGUAGGUUUCGUUUCCCCACCCGCCAUUUUUAAAAAGACCCAACAGAGCUCAUUGCCUUCUUCAAUCAUGCAGAGACGGGCAGCAUGACGGGCUUGUCAUUGAUUUUCCUGGAAAGGGUAGAUAAUUGUGCUUUACAAUGGUAUUCAUAUUACAGUUGACCUGGAAGUAUUAUGUUUUUUUGGGCGUUAAAAUAAGGUCAGUCAAUAUCGUUAGCUAACUAUAUGUGGUAACCCUUAGCAAGCUAGUUGCAUUCGUUUUCGAGAUGAUCAAUCUCUGUUGAGGGAGGAGCUGGUUUUAACAAUUCUGAACACAUUCCGUUUGUCAAAAUAAUGACUUAUGUUCGCUAGCUGGACAGGCAAACGCCGCCAAAUACUAAACUGUAAACCAAUAUAAAUUUGUGUACUAUCGCCGGUGAUCAUGUUAUCCGUAUCUAAGGUAGUAGAAAACUGCUGACGUCGAGAGACCUCCUUCCGACAAACUGCUAUCAGGUCUCUCACUUGUCUCACGUGAUCUAUUCAGCUCUCCUGUGUCCAUCUCCCAGAGAUCAACCAAGUGCUAUUCGCCAAGCAUGGGCUAAUGUUGGUGGGUGGAGCUGGGAGGGUCGUCUGCGAGAUGGGACACACCUUGGCUCAGGUGUGUCCUGGCAAUAAAUACUUUCCCCCAUACUUCGAGGAGACUCUCCGCGCAGACAUGUUGUUUUUGUUGGGGCAUUUUGGGGCUUUGUUAAUUUAUUUUGGCACCUCUCAACACCCCUCAUCACCAUCAAUGCACGCAUCCACUCACUUACACUACUGAUUAACACCAUUGUUACUUGUAUAUAAGUUACUUUAUUUAAUAAAUAUAUUUGUGUUAA